CGNCAGGCUUANCACAUGCAAGUCGAGCGGAGCGAAGGUGCUUGCACUUAAGCUUAGCGGCGGACGGGUGAGUAAUGCUUAGGAAUCUGCCUAUUAGUGGGGGACAACGUUUCGAAAGGAACGCUAAUACCGCAUACGUCCUACGGGAGAAAGCAGGGGAUCUUCGGACCUUGUGCUAAUAGAUGAGCCUAAGUCGGAUUAGCUAGUUGGUGGGGUAAAGGCCUACCAAGGCGACGAUCUGUAGCGGGUCUGAGAGGAUGAUCCGCCACACUGGGACUGAGACACGGCCCAGACUCCUACGGGAGGCAGCAGUGGGGAAUAUUGGACAAUGGGCGAAAGCCUGAUCCAGCCAUGCCGCGUGUGUGAAGAAGGCCUUUUGGUUGUAAAGCACUUUAAGCGAGGAGGAGGAGCUUCAGGUUAAUACCCUGGAUGCUUGGACGUUACUCGCAGAAUAAGCACCGGCUAACUCUGUGCCAGCAGCCGCGGUAAUACAGAGGGUGCAAGCGUUAAUCGGAUUUACUGGGCGUAAAGCGUGCGUAGGCGGCUAAUUAAGUCAAAUGUGAAAUCCCCGAGCUUAACUUGGGAAUUGCAUUCGAUACUGGUUAGCUAGAGUAUGGGAGAGGAUGGUAGAAUUCCAGGUGUAGCGGUGAAAUGCGUAGAGAUCUGGAGGAAUACCGAUGGCGAAGGCAGCCAUCUGGCCUAAUACUGACGCUGAGGUACGAAAGCAUGGGGAGCAAACAGGAUUAGAUACCCUGGUAGUCCAUGCCGUAAACGAUGUCUACUAGCCGUUGGGGUCUUUGAGACCUUAGUGGCGCAGCUAACGCGAUAAGUAGACCGCCUGGGGAGUACGGUCGCAAGACUAAAACUCAAAUGAAUUGACGGGGGCCCGCACAAGCGGUGGAGCAUGUGGUUUAAUUCGAUGCAACGCGAAGAACCUUACCUGGCCUUGACAUACUAAGAACUUUCCAGAGAUGGAUUGGUGCCUUCGGGAACUUAGNAUACAGGUGCUG
RNAcentral lists this ribosomal RNA (1010 nucleotides) under Acinetobacter brisouii. RNAcentral describes it as "bacterial SSU rRNA". It matches the Rfam family "Bacterial small subunit ribosomal RNA", at positions 40 to 1043 of the family's 1533-position model. Lineage: Bacteria; Pseudomonadati; Pseudomonadota; Gammaproteobacteria; Moraxellales; Moraxellaceae. The record is from RNAcentral.